GUGGGGAAUAUUGCGCAAUGGGGGAAACCCUGACGCAGCGACGCCGUGUGAGGGAAGAAGGCUUUCGGGUCGUAAACCUCUGUCAGAAAGGAAGAACCUCCCAAGUCCGAAUAGGGCUUGGGACUGACGGUACUUUCAAAGGAAGCACCGGCUAACUCCGUGCCAGCAGCCGCGGUAAUACGGAGGGUGCAAGCGUUAAUCGGAAUCACUGGGCGUAAAGCGCGCGUAGGCCGCUUUGUAAGUCGGACGUGAAAGCCCUCGGCUCAACCGGGGAACUGCGUUCGAUACUGCGAGGCUUGAGUCCUGGAGAGGGUGGUGGAAUUCCGGGUGUAGGAGUGAAAUCCGUAGAUAUCCGGAGGAACACCGGUGGCGAAGGCGGCCACCUGGACAGGUACUGACGCUGAGGCGCGAAAGCGUGGGGAGCAAACAGGAUUAGAAACCCGUGUAGUCC
RNAcentral lists this ribosomal RNA (451 nucleotides) under uncultured bacterium. Its description in RNAcentral is "partial 16S ribosomal RNA". It matches the Rfam family "Bacterial small subunit ribosomal RNA", at positions 354 to 796 of the family's 1533-position model. The record is from RNAcentral.